Long non-coding RNA from Gossypium arboreum, 650 nucleotides. RefSeq lists it as uncharacterized. The transcript is spliced from 2 exons. NCBI's taxonomy places the organism in Eukaryota, Viridiplantae, Streptophyta, Magnoliopsida, Malvales, Malvaceae. The record is from RefSeq and is a predicted model, not a curated record.
GGACUGGAAGUGAAAAUAUCCCGCGCCCAUAAUACUUCACUGGAUCGUGGAUCAAACUGAAGCAACGCAUGAAUUAGAAAGCCAAAUUUUAAAACAUAAGGGGGGCAAAUUGGGGCGCAAAUUGAAGGCUGUGCGCAAGGGGAGGAUUCAGCGCGGAAUUUCCCCAUUCACACAACAUGGCGCAAAUCCAUUUUACUAUUUGGGCAAACACGCGGACCUUUAUGGUCAUGGAUGACACUGUUUUGUAUUUCAGACCAUUUAAACCCUUUUUCCCUUCCUUUCCUUUCAAAUGCCCAUCCAUUUUAACAACAACCAGCAGCCUUAAAAUUAAAUUUGCUAGGGUUCCUUUUACAAGCAGCCGAACCACCAUCAGAUUUGGUGUCCAGCGGCGCGCAAAACAAUUCCCGAUUCUGCUGCUGUAGGUGCUCGACCACGCCUUGAGGAAAUUAGCUCGGUUGUACAGCGGAGCGGAGAGACGUGCGAAGGAGGCCAUGUGAGGAACCACUCGUGGGAGCCCUAGCUCUCUGGCCUAUUCAGGCACGUUCCAGAAGCUUCCAGUGCUGCUGAGAAUUUUUUGGGUGUAUUGGGCCUUUGGGUUAGGGAUCUUGCUUUGGGCUUUUUAUUUUUAUAAAAAAAACUUGGACUUUUAA